RNAcentral lists this long non-coding RNA (6424 nucleotides) under Gossypium barbadense (sea-island cotton). RNAcentral's name for it is "long non-coding RNA (GBAR_LNC022257)". The record is from RNAcentral. Lineage: Eukaryota; Viridiplantae; Streptophyta; Magnoliopsida; Malvales; Malvaceae.
AACCACUCAAUGGUUUCACCAUCUGAUUUGUGACCAAGCUCCCUUGUUAGCUGGAAAACCCUAGCAGCACACGUAGCCGGCAUGCGGAUGCGACGGCCUCGGCCUUCCACUUUGGUGUGCCGGUCCUUGGUCGAAGUCCUCUUAGGUGGAGGUUUCUUGGAGGGAGGUUCCAAGGUUGGUUUGGAGCUGGUGUCGACGUCGGCAGGGUCGGAACGAGGUUGUUCCUUCUUUUCUAGGAGCUGAAGAGGAAAGUUCGGCCUGCGGAUCCCAUUUUCAUCCAUGAUCAUGUAUGAGAGAGUGGGAUUAUAUCUUUUUGGUGGUUUGGCUCUCCUAGUACAUGAUCUGAAGGUGACCCUCAAUUCAGUGACUUUGAUGGCCUAGGGGGUCUCUUUCAUUUUUGCUAUAUGAUGUUGUGUUGUGUAGCUUGGAAUUCCCUUUAGAUGGGGAAGAUUGAAGCUGCUGAGUUGGUUUUCUUAUCUCUGCACAGACCAAAGAGAGAGAGGGGAUAAGGGGAAGAGGGCAAGCUUUAAGCAACAACUACAAUGAGUGAGAAUUAUGAGGGUGGGCUAUGAAAGAAAAGCAGUGACUUUUUUCGGAUGGGAAAUAAUUCGUUUCAUUGAGGACCUCUUUGUAAUUUUCUCUUUUCUAUACUUCUUGUGAAAUAAAAUAAAAUCAUAUUAUUGUGGUUGGAUAGUCCCUUGAUUCAAACUCCACGUGCGGUGCUCUUUUAUCAUUCAAUCCAUAAAGACAGUGGUGGGCCCCGCGUCACCUUUACUCAAAAAAACUCAAUCACUCUCUCUCCAUCGUUAAAUUAUACAAAAGAGAAAGGCAAAUUAUUUAGAUAUAAUAAAGUGGUCCCCAUUCCAUUCUUGUAAUCAUUGCCUUAAUUUUAAAACAAAAGUUUACCUCUAAAUAAUUCCAUUACUUGUUAAUGGUUUUAUAUUAAGUUUGAUUUUUCUUAAAAACUCUUCCAAGAAGAAAAUCCGUUUAUUGGGGAUGAGAGUGAAGGAUACUUGAUGAAAAAUCUUUCAGUAGAUUUCUGAGUCAAUACCCAACACUUUUCAGGUCUCCAUCUUUGAACAUGUGAGCCAUACAGUCUGCAAUAUUAUAUAUAUAUAUAUGUGUGGUCCUUGAAAGUAUUGUUUAAAAAGCUUAUAUACCCAAAAUAUGCCUUUUAUUCCAUUUUCCAUUAAAGGCUUUCAUCUCUAUUUAUUUUCAAGUUUUGUAGGAGCAGGGGAACAUUUCAUAAGAUCAAUAGUCUAAAUCUUCCGACCAAUUGAACGUUGUGCAUGAGGAAUGUGGUGUUAGAUAAGGUGAAAGAAUAUAAACUUUUCUUUUAUGCCAAAUUUUGUUGGGACAUAAUAGUAAAAAGAACGAAAAAUCAUUUGGAUAACAUAGAUAAAUAUAAUGUAAUUACGCAUUGUCAAUCAAAUACAUCUAAAGAAUUAGAAUUCUUUGUAAUUAUAAAAGGAUGUAAUUACUAGUUUAGUAAUUAUAGUUUUAUCCAAUUAUUUUGUGGUGUCUAAGCACACUCUAACUAAAAAAGAAAAUCUGGUUAAAAAAAUUAACCUAAAACUUUUAUUCAAUAAAUUAUCGUAUUAGUCCCUCUAGUAUGUUCAAACUUUAAAUUUAAUCAUUACACUUUAAUUUGGCAUAAAAGUGGAGUUCUAGUCUUAAUAUCUAAAAUCCCUUCUUCUUCUUCUUUUCGAGCAAUCAAUAUAUUUACUCAUACUAGUGUAAAACUUAACUAAUUUUACAUACUUAUAUAUGUAAAUUUUUAUACGACUAAUAUUUUUAUAAUUCAUCCGUAAGCAAUUGUUGAUGAAUAAAACAACUUGAAUUAUACCAUAUGUGUAUAUGUAUACAUAUAGUAAAUAAAAAAGACCCACCAGCAAAGAGGAAUGAGAGAGAAGGCAUAGCACGUCUAACCCAUGUGCCUAACAGGCCGAAGUGUAGCUUAAAAGGGAACAAAAACAAGCACAUUGCCUAAAAUAUAGCGACUUCCAAAAUCUAUUUCAACAACCAACAUACCUAACUAUCUCAUAAUUCCAUUUUCUUUUCCCCAUCUUCUCUAAUCAUUUUUUUCCCUCUAAAUCUCCACUAAUCACCCUUCUUCCUCUUGAUUAUGACCCUUCCUUAAUAUGUCACCUUUCUUGUUUUAACUUUUUCAUUUCUUUUUUGUUUUACUAAAUCUUCGUGAUGUUGAAGAAAAAAAAACCCCAGUACAUUGUCAUUUCAAGUUCCCUACACCUUAACAUGCAUGUAACAAAACAAUGGUGUGUACGCAGACAGUGGCAUUUGCCUCUUUGGAUAUAUGGUUUAAUUCUUUUUUAGUCCUCUUAAAAUUUAAUUAUUUUUAGCUUUUAUGUUAAAUGAAUAAUUCUUUAGCUUUAUCUUCCAAAAUUUUUAAUUUUAUCCUAAUCACUCUUGAGUUGAAGCCUUGUUAAAAGAAAAUCAUACAGCACAAUGAUUCUUGAUAUGAAACCAAUAAUGUUAAAGUUGUCCUGAUGAAGUACUGUUUAUUAUAAAGGAACACCACAUAGAAGAAUUAAUACUUUUUUUAUCUGAAACUUUACAAAUGGUAUAUGUUAUAACAUUAUCUCUAUGUAAGUAAUAAUAAGAGUUGAGGGUGUACGCAUGGACAAGGGAAGUUGUAUAAAUUCUAUUCAAUAUUACCUUUUUUAAAAAUAAUUAAAAACUAAUAUUUUCUGGCAAGCCGAUUGUAAAAAUAAAUAAAGGGUCUCAUAUGCAGUAUAUCUCACAUCGUUUUAUCUUUUCAUUCAUCAAAUUAUUGAUAUUAUUACUAUUUUUCAUGUCUAAAAAAAAAUGAAGUAAGUUUGAUCUAAGCAAUUUUAGCAUUAACUCUUGGACCAAUAAUAAUGGGAUUUGGACCACAGCAGUGAUGUACUAUUUUAUGGUUGCUGCACGGUACAAAAACAUGCAAUCAUCUUCAUUUCAAUACAAAGUGUUUUUUAUUUUUAUUUGGGUAAUAGAAGAAAUCCUAUGUGGGUGUUCCUCUUCCGCUUAAAUUUUUUAAAUUUCUCUUAAAUCAAAUUUUGCCUAAAUUCCAAACAAAGUUUAUAAAUAUAUGAGUGGAAAAUAGUCCCCCAUUGGGGAAGAGAUCACGUGGCUUGCCAUCUUUUGCCGGUGAUGCUGAUGGCUUACCCUCCAUUUUUGUGUUUAAUUAUUUAACCGGAAUGUUAGUUGUAAAUCACCCCCUUGAUUUCUUCCCUUUUUGGGUCAAGCUGGCCGCUCUCUUUCUUUGAAUAUCAUUAACAGCAAUCGGAUAAGAUGUUACCCUUUUAACAUCUGUUCAUAAAUGAGAAUAUUUCAGAAUUUUUUGAAAUUUUAUAUUUUAUUUUAUUAGUCUCCUCAAUUAAGUUUUAAUUCAAUUGGUAUUGAUACGUGGGUUCAAGUACGCUCAAGAGCAUUAUCCUCCUAUUUUAAUGGUGUAGAUAUUAUAAUAAUAGUAAUAAUAUUUUUGCUGUGUUUGAAUAGUGGGGUGACAAAUGAAUAUAAUUAUUAAAUGUGAUUAUAACUUUUUGUAUAAUUUGUAAUGUAUUUGAAAUGUUAUAUUCAAAUAGCAGAAGCAUAGUAAUAAAAGAGACUACCAUUCUAAUACGGAAACAAAAUUAGAUGGAAUCACAGCUUGGCUUCCUCCCAAUUAUAUCAACUUUCAUUUCUUUGGGAUAACUUCCAUCAAUUUCUUUCAUCCAUAAUUGUUUUGGAUUUUGUUUUUUUUUUCAAUUUCAUCCACCAGCUUAGUUUCCAUUAAGUAUGAUGAUGUGACACUAUGAUAUUUAUAUCAAAUCAUCAUUUGAAAAUUUAAAAACUUAUAUUAAAUCUAAAUAAAAUAUUAAAUAUUAUAACAUCUUUAUUUCUUUUUUUUAAAAAAUCAAGUGAUAAUAUGGUACAAUCUCAAAGUGUUACGUCAUCAUGUCUUAACAAAAUCUAAGUGCAUGGACCAAAUUGAGAAAGGUACAAAGUUUCAAGACUAAUGUGGACUAAAAAUGUUGCAAUUUUUUUUCAAUUUGGUCCUUGAACUUCUUUUGUACACACUCCACAAUAGUCCUAGAAUUUGGUAACUUUUCCUAACUUGGCCCAUGAACUUGGAUUCCGUUAAGUACGAUGAUAUAACACUCUGGGAUUGUACCAAACCAUCGCUUAAUUUCAAAGUGGUACAAUCUCAAAGUGGCACAUCAUCGUACCUUAGCUAAAUCCAAAUGCCAGUACCAAAUUAAAAAAAAAACUGCAAAAUUUUAAUACUAAUAUAGACUAAAAAAAUUAAAAAGGAGCAAGAUAGGAAAAAACUUCCAAUCCAACAACUAAAAGUUACUUUAUCUUAAUUAAUAAAAAAUUUGAUUUAAAAAAUUGACAGAUUAACUGUUUGGGAAGAAAAAGGCUGGCUAAAGCCAAUAAAGAAAUUUCCACCAUCAUCCAUGGCUGUAUGAAAGAAGAAGAGUGGGUCAUUUUCUCUUUUAAGACUAUUUCCUAUGACUUCUCUACCUUAUACUCUUUUUUCUUAUGUUCAUAUAUAUUUCUUUUUAAAAACAAAAAAACCCUUUUGAAACGCCUUCGAAAUUGACUCUAAAAAUUUUGUCUACAAAAAUGCAAUGGCCAAGUCAAGCAAAUAUAUAGAGAAGAAAAUUCAAAUGCAAAUAAAUGUUAGGCCUAAUUGAGUAGAAUAUUUUGUACAACAAAAAUUUUGAUUUAGAAAACAAUUUUAAGACCUACUAGGUGCUGCUGUUGGCUAAUAAAAUGCCAACUGAGUCAGAUUGAAUUUAUAUAUAUCAUUAAUUUAUAUUAUUAUUUAAGUUUAUAAUUGAAUUGGUAUCGACUGUUAUGAGUCGAUCAGAGAUCAACUCGAUUAGGGUAAUUAUAAAAAUAUUCUUCCAUAAUUAAAAUAAAUUAUAUUAUCUAAAUGUAUUUUAAUCUUUUUUUUAUUUUAAGAAAAACCAAUAAAAAGAAUAAAGCAUGAAAGCCAUACACUUGUUGAACACUAGCUAGUUGAAUCAUGCCUAUUUUCUCCACCGUGGUGUUGAUGUGAUCCUCCGGCCGGAGGCUCGGAAACACCAAUACCCGGAACUGGUCUAUAAGCGUUUAGUGACGCCAGCAUACUUAAAUGAGUGUCUGUAACUGAGCCGCCGCCGGCACCGAUUCCGGAACCAAAUUGUUGGGCAGGGAGGAGAGCCAUUGGAGCGGCUAAAUUCAUAAAAUGCACCCCACUAGACAUAGUACCCCUAUACAUAUUAGUGUUAUUUGUUGAAGGAAAUGUCCACAUGGGAUCCCCAGUGCCACUCCCACUGAUGACUUGGUUGCCGAUCCAAAAUGUCGCCGGGAUCGGAUUAUGACUUGUCGGAAUCGAACCCGUAUUAGAUUGUAUCAAGUAACUUCCCACCUGAUUUUGUGGCGAUUCUUGCUGCUCCGGCCUCCUCCUCUUCCCUAUACUAGUAUCCGCGGCCUCGGCGUCCCGAAUCUCUUGCUUUGCUUGCAAGAAAGCGUUCAAAGUAGUGCUACUAGUACCAGGAAAGGUCAAUGAAUCUUCAGAUGAUAAAGCAACACCAGGAAAUAAAACCCUUCGUUGCUGUUGUUGUUGUUGAGAUGAAUCGUCAAGGACAUUCCUUUGAUCCCAUUCAUUCCUCGUCCUCAAUUGUUGUGUGGUAAAAUUUGGAUUGAAAUAAGUGUUCCUUAAGUGUGAAGCCGACAUGCUAGAACCUGAACUUCUUAGUGAAAUAUUAAGGGACGUGAAAUUUGCAGGGAUAGUACCUGUCCCCGUGGCAGCAAAAACCGCAGGCUCAGCUUGUUGGAGCAACCACUCAAUGGUUUCACCAUCUGAUUUGUGACCAAGCUCCCUUGUUAGCUGGAAAACCCUAGCAGCACACGUAGCCGGCAUGCGGAUGCGACGGCCUCGGCCUUCCACUUUGGUGUGCCGGUCCUUGGUCGAAGUCCUCUUAGGUGGAGGUUUCUUGGAGGGAGGUUCCAAGGUUGGUUUGGAGCUGGUGUCGACGUCGGCAGGGUCGGAACGAGGUUGUUCCUUCUUUUCUAGGAGCUGAAGAGGAAAGUUCGGCCUGCGGAUCCCAUUUUCAUCCAUGAUCAUGUAUGAGAGAAUGGGAUUAUAUCUUUUUGGUGGUUUGGCUCUCCUAGUACAUGAUCUGAAGGUGACCCUCAAUUCAGUGACUUUGAUGGCCUAGGGGGUCUCUUUCGUUUUUGCUAUAUGAUGUUGUGUUGUGUAGCUUGGAAUUCCCUUUAGAUGGGGAAGAUUGAAGCUGCUGAGUUGGUUUUCUUAUCUCUGCACAGACCAGAGAGAGAGAGGGGAUAAGGGGAAGAGGGCAAGCUUUAAGCAACAACUACAAUGAGUGAGAAUUAUGAGGGUGGGCUAUGAAAGAAAAGCAGUGACUUUUUUCGGAUGGGAAAUAAUUCGUUU